Molecule: unclassified non-coding RNA, 596 nt
Filed under: Hevea brasiliensis (rubber tree)
Lineage: Eukaryota; Viridiplantae; Streptophyta; Magnoliopsida; Malpighiales; Euphorbiaceae
Source: RNAcentral
CGAGUACAUGAGCAAUGUUAUGCUCAAAUUACCAGCUUUUGCAAUAACCUUCUCUUGUGGUUUCAAAAUUACCAGAGAUGGGUUCAUUCACUUCCCAUAUUUAAAAAAGAGAGAUGAAAGCACAAAAACUUCAAACUUCCCAGUUUAGCAACAACUCUCUUUUCAGAGAGCGAAUUUUUUCUAUUAUCCGAAUUGCCUUUUGUGUCAUUUUAUGUAGUAAGCUACCAUGGAAUCUUGAAGCAAUUAACACUAACAAUGAAAGAAUAGUUUCUGAACGGAUGAGGCUGUAAUGUGUAAAUUAUGUAAGAGGAAAGUUGCUCAUCAAAUCUAAACACAGUACUAAGGAAGUUCCAGAUGUUUGGAUUUGGCGCUAAAAUCCCAAAAAGCAAACGAAAGCCCGUCUGAGGAAUUUCACUUAGAAGAAUGAAAUGGAAGCAUUACUGCUGAAGAGAAAAAAAAAAGGAACGAAAAUUUCUUCAAUUUAUCGAGGAGGGGAACAGUUUUUCAGAAAGACCGAUGUAGUUAUCGAGCCAAAGCAGCAAAAACACAAAUGAAGCAACAAAAAUGGAAGCAAAGGGAUACGCAAACAAACAAAG